UCUAAAUCCUUGCAUUCUAACCUUAUUGAUUUCCUAGUUUUCAAUUGAAAUAUGUUAUAUGCUACAACCAUCAUAGCCUGAGUGACUACCAUUGUCAAUUUGCUUUACGAGGUCUCUUUUUAUUUUUCUUCUGCAGCCUCUUUUAUAAUUCCAGUUCAGUAUUGUAACAAAGGUAAUUUAGAAGAAGAUUGUGUUUUGUCCCUUUAUGUUUGUCAGAGGCAGCAUUAAUUUCGCCCCCUUUUCUCUUUUUUGGAAAUUUAUCUUCGGCCCUUACUCUUGAGUAGCUUGCUGGUCUUGAGUACCAGCAUUAUGUAUUUUAGUAAGUUUUAAAAUUUAGACCUUAACAAUGCCAAUUUAUUGAUCCAAUCCGCCCCUUAAACUCAUCAAUCAGCUCCUUAAACUCACCGCCAUCUCCUCUCUCGUUCUCCACCAUUACUCCCUCUCCACCCACCAACUUUCCCUUUACUUCACUGCCCUUUCUUCUUUGUUAACCCCCCCUCCUCACUCCCGUAACAUAUGGUAAAAGACUAUUUGUUACUGAAGUUCCAAUUGAUUAUACAUGUAGUGCAGAUCAAAUCAAAUAAGUUGAAGACUUGCUUGAUAAUAUGGUAUCCAUAUGAUUUGGAGUUAUUAGAUAACAUAGAAGCCCUACCUCAACUUGACAUGUCAACCAAAGCCUAAUCUCUUAACCCUCACUAGACAUUAAAUUACCACAAUCUUUAUCAACCAGUUGGAAGAGUGAGGAAAAAACAUGCAGUAAAAUCGGUGGACCACUUGUAAACAACAAGAGAGAAUCUGCUAACUUGCAACAAUAAUGAAACACUUGAUGGAGAUUCUACUUUAGGCAUAACUAAAGUAACUAUCUUGUACAACAAAUUAUCUUUACAAAAAGUUAAGAUCCUAUUUUUAUUGUCUUUUUAUCUCUUACAACUUUAUAAAUGGGUUAGCAACUCUUUUUGUAAGAGAUCAUGGAAAUAUAAAAUCGGUCUCAGUGCCUUAUAUAAGAGUCAUCUUGUGUGUUUUCUAACGUGUAUUGUGUAGAAACUAUAUUUCUUAUGAAAUUCCCAUUUACCUUAGAGUUUUUAAAAUCUUAAUUUUCAUUGUAAAUUAAAAGAAUGAGGUUUUAGUAUUAACUACUUGGCGUUUAUCACAACUGUCAAAUUAACAUUUAUCAUGGUUAUCAAUUAAGUAUUUAUUAGGAAUUUUCCAUAAGUUUUAAAUGUUAAUGUGGUAAAAUUCAUUCAAUUUAUAAUCUAUUGUGGAGAUUUUAAGAAUUUUAUAAAGUAAUGUAUUGGAGGAACACUAAUGAAUUUUAUCCAAGCGUGAUGCUUGAAACUACAUUUUUACGCUACCACUAUCUCGUUCUGCUUAUGUAGCAAUGUGAAUCAGCUAUUGUAAAAAAAUUAAAUUAAAAAAAAUUUAAAGGUUGAUUUGCAUCCCGACGUUAGCCCGUAAGUUAAAAAUAUUGUUUAUAACAUUACUUUUUAUCCAGUUAUUGUGAUUGAAAUAUGAAAAAUGAUGUACAUUUACUUUUAUUUUUAUUGAUGUGGCAUUGAAGUAAUCUUUGUUAUAAAAAUGAUUAAGGAAGUAUUAAUAGAUUCACAAUUGUAAAUAGGAUAAGAAUGUUGGGUAUAUCAAUUACUCUUCAUAUAUUUUUACAUGUCCACACAAAAUAGGGGAGGAAGAAUUUGAACUAGUGACCUCUACUUCAUGAAGCGUGGUCCUCAGUCGAUUGAACUACCCAUUGGAGACUUUAUAUACUAUCCUUCAUGAAAAAAAGACAACAUAAGCAAAAUCGUAUUGAAUUGAAACACCAAUUUAGUGGAAAACGAAGAGAGAUAAAAGGAAGAGACAAACUAGUAUUGGCAAUAACAAGGAAGCACCCAUAGGUCCAACCAUCCUAAUAACCUGUUUGAGUAGUUGGCGACGUGUGGGACUAGGGGUAUUAGAUGAGUUUAGCUGGUUGUAAACUCAGUUUGACUCAGCUUACUUAAACUCAAUUCAGUCUCGAUUUGAAAAAAAAAAAAAUGGGUUGAUCUAGUCGUAUAUUAAACGAGACAUACUCGUAUAAACUUGGUUCGGCUCGUUCAAAGGUCGCUCGGCUUGUAUAAAUUCAACUUGACUUAUUCGGCUUGAAUUUUUAGCUCCAAAUUCUGCUCGGCUCUAAUAUAACCUUAGAUAGGACUAAUAUAGGGUGAUGGGGUUAAGAGCAUUCACAACAGCUUCCUUAUAAGGGUCAAAUUCUUUAAAUUUUAGGAAAAAUUUCAAGAAAGUCAUAAAAACCAUCCCACAGCAACUUCUCUAAAAUUUUCUAUUCCCUGGGUAGUGAACAGUAAUUCCCAAUGUAUAGGAAAGUACUGUUCACUUCACAUCUUAUUUUAUAAUCUUUAAAAAAAACACUCCUCUCAUGGCUCUCUAAGCCUCAGAACGAGGUGCGCCAAGUCAACAUUUUGGAGCACCAACGAGUCCUUCGUUUCAGAGGGCCUCAUCGUGCCCAAACUCCCCACGAGUGGCCCACUCAUCAUGCCAUUCUCCACCUUAGCAAUCUUCCCCUCUUCCGAUGCCUUCCGAUUACGAAGAUCCCAGACCCACCAGCCUUGCCCUUGCUGAUGUAGGUGACGUACGAUCGACAUAUUUGGGAGCAUGACGAGCAUGGCCCAUCAUUUGGGUCCGUGACGAGCACCAUUCUCGCUGUUGGAGACCCCGUGUUGAGAUAAAGGAGACUCUGGACGGGUAGCUACUUAAUUGCCAAAGCCCUGGACGGGAAGCCUGCCGAUGAUGGUGGUUUUGGUGUGAUAGAUUGAGAAAGAUGGAUAGUUUGGGUAGUGGGUGUGAGGACAGAGAAGAUGAGAGAGGGAGAGAGAAUAAAAGAAAUGAAUAAAAAAUAAAAGAAAAAUGUAAAAAUUAAUAUAUUAAUGAUAUAGGAAAAAAAAAAAUGUAAGAAAGUUGCUGAAGAGUUUUUUUUAAGGGGGAAAAAAAAAAAAAGAAGUAGUUAGAAAGUUACUAGAAAUGCUCUAACAAAUUCAUUCGUCACUCGUAAAAGAGCCACGCGGAUCCUCGUUAGGUGGUGUAGAAUUUUCUUUUAUUUGAAAAAAAAACAACGGUUCAGAUUGAAUGGUAGCUUUAAAUGUGCGUAAGCACAACGCACUGUGACUUGUCAACACACACACACCAAACCUUGAAUGGUAGUUUUCAAUGUGCGUAAGAACAAAGCAGAGAGACGUCUCAAAGCAAACAACCAACUUUUUCAAAUAUAGAUAAAAAUAUCUACACGGCACCGCCUGCAAGGAAAAGGGGUGACAGCGCGUUACCCACGUAGAUUAUACGAUUGCCGUUGAUCUCCCUUAAAGUCGUCCAUCUCAACCGUUCAAGCUUCCUAUCCCCAUCUAUAAGUUAGGUUCUCCCUACCUUUCAUUUAUUCUCUCGUCCUCGCCUUCUUCACCUGUCUUUCUUUCUAGACUCACCAUCGCUGCAAUUCUCACCUAAAUGUUCCUCCGGCUUAGAUCUCUUCUCGUAAGAGAUUCUUGUUCCUUACCCAGAAGGCGGAGGUUAUGGCGGAGAUCCGUGAGCGUCUGCUGUGGGAGUCAUACCGGUCUCAGAUCUGAUGCGUUGUCGCUGUCGCCGUCCUAGUUUGGAGUCCCUGGUCAAUGGACUGAGAUCUGUGCCUGUUGCUCUGGACGGAGGCUAAUUGCUUUGCUCAUAAUGAUAUAUAUUCUUUGUAUGCGAUUAUUAAGCAAGGUCUUAGCGUUGUAAUCGCCAUAGAUUUCAUCGCGGUUGUUAUAGCGUGCGUAAGAAAUCAGGAGGGGCCUGAUUUCGGGGGGACCGAGUCAAUAAUUGAGUUUGUUGUCGACCUUUGCCAUGACAGGUGCGCUUGCAUGGCAGGUCACCCAAUCUCUUAAUAAAAGAUUUAAGUUUUUUGGUUUCGAGGGAAGACCGCACGGGGAUUUUUUUUCCCGGGGUCUCUCCUCUGGUGCGCCGUGUUCUGCUGCUUUCCUCUCCUUGCUUUCCAUUACUUUGGCCAUAGCAUCCAUCAUGAUAUGCUUGAUCUGAAUCUUACACAGACAAUCCGAGUCGGUAGCGUAUUAGCGUUUUCAGAUCUGCAUCAACUUCCGGGGAUUAAAGGUACACACACCAUUUAGUCAUUUACUUGAAUUACUUUACAAAUUACGCAAGUCUCUAUUCUUGGUUUCCAGGGAAAAAUAAAUACCUAAAGUUAUUAUGCUUAAAAUUACUUUUUUGAAUCGAAUUCGACCAGAUCUGUUUCCGGAUAGAAAUAAAUACCUGUAGUUAUUAUGCUUAAAAUUACUUUUUUGAAUCGAAUUCGACCAGAUCUGUUUCCGGCUAGACAUAAAUACCGAAAGAUAUUUUGCUUAAAAUUACUAUUUUGAAUCGGAUUCGACCAGAUCUGUUUCCGGAUAGAAAUAUAUACCUGAAGUUAUUAUGCUUGAAAUUACUUUCUUGAAUCGAAUUCAACCAGAUCUGUCUGUUGAAUCUAGCGUAAUCUCAAGCCAUGCUUCAUUCAUGUAAACACGUUUAAGCCGGGAAUAUGCUUAUUUGAAUGUGAAAUCUCUAUUUUGCAACAUUUGAAAAUCAAUUAACAUUUUACUUUAAAGGGCGUACCGAUUGUACGUAUAUUGGAAGUCUGAUUUUGAUGUGCCAAAUAGCGGUUGUGAUAGCAUAGUUGAAUCCAUUAAGAUAUAGCGAUCAUUGAAACUUCAGACAGUAAUCUUGUUUCUUUUUAGUUACAAAUGGUAAAUAAUUGUCUUAAAUAAUAACUUGAAUUAGCUUCAUGGAUUUUCUUCACAUGAUUCAGAAGAAAUAUUGUCUGAAAUAUCAUCAGAUAGUUGAGUAAUUACUGGGAAAUUCUUGUUACAGCAAAUUGUUAUCCUUGAUACAAACAAACACCAGUUUAUUUAAGUACUAUGGCUUGUAGCCCGAGGAUUCGGAGAGUUUAUAUGUAACUCCGUAUGCUUUUGGUGAGAUGUGUUGUAUUUGUUCCCGCUCCUUUUGUACUAGGAAGGAUUUUGUUUCCCUUUAAUCGAGAAGUCUCUGGAUCUCAUAAUCAAUUCCGGUAUGCGAGACAAGCUGGUUUGUUGACGACGGUGGCGCGUGCUGUUCAAGAAUUUUUGGAGAAUGAGAUCCGGUUUAUUGAGCGGCAAUUCUGAGAAAGUGACAGAUUUAGAGAUCAGACUGAUGGCUGGUCCUUUGAGGUGACGAAACUUGUGAUCAAUGAUGGUAUCAUAUAUUAUUUUACAUCUAUGCAUUUUUACCUGUGUUCUUGUUGUA
Long non-coding RNA from Alnus glutinosa, 5286 nucleotides. RefSeq lists it as uncharacterized. The transcript has 2 exons. The record is from RefSeq and is a predicted model, not a curated record. NCBI's taxonomy places the organism in Eukaryota, Viridiplantae, Streptophyta, Magnoliopsida, Fagales, Betulaceae.